GGAUGUGAGGGCGAGCUGGCUGUGACAUCCGUCACCCCAUUGAUUGCCAGGGUUGAUUCGACUGAUCUGGCUGGCUAGGCGGGUGUCCCCUUCCUCCCUCACCGUCCCAUGUGCGUCCCUCCUGAAGCUGUGCACUUAGUCGAAGAGGACGGCCUUCCCCGAACAGAGACGGACCGGUCUUCGGUCGAGGGUAUACGAGUAGCUGCGCUCCCCGGCUAGAACCUCCAAACAAGCUCUCAAAUUCUACCUCCCCAAGACCACAAGAUUUGCAAACACUGCAGGGAAAUAAGCUCAGAUGUUGUCUCACAAGGAUCCGGGUGGUGGUGCACAUGCUGCAAUGUGCAAGGACCU
Molecule: unclassified non-coding RNA, 351 nt
Organism: Erinaceus europaeus (western European hedgehog)
Lineage: Eukaryota; Metazoa; Chordata; Mammalia; Eulipotyphla; Erinaceidae
Gene: 7SK
Rfam family: 7SK RNA
About the family: 7SK was discovered as an abundant small nuclear RNA in the mid-70s but a possible function has only recently been suggested. Two independent studies have found that 7SK RNA binds the CDK9/cyclin T complex (known as elongation factor P-TEFb).
Source: Ensembl